UCUACGGGAGGCUGCAGUGGGGAAUAUUGGACAAUGGGCGAAAGCCUGAUCCAGCCAUGCCGCGUGUGUGAAGAAGGCCUUCGGGUUGUAAAGCACUUUCAGUGGGGAAGAAAGCCUUGGGGCUAAUACCCUCGAGGAAGGACAUCACCCACAGAAGAAGCACCGGCUAACUCCGUGCCAGCAGCCGCGGUAAUACGGAGGGUGCGAGCGUUAAUCGGAAUUACUGGGCGUAAAGCGCGCGUAGGCGGUCUGAUAAGCCGGUUGUGAAAGCCCCGGGCUCAACCUGGGAACGGCAUCCGGAACUGUCAGGCUAGAGUGCAGGAGAGGAAGGUAGAAUUCCCGGUGUAGCGGUGAAAUGCGUAGAGAUCGGGAGGAAUACCAGUGGCGAAGGCGGCCUUCUGGACUGACACUGACGCUGAGGUGCGAAAGCGUGGGUAGCAAACAGGAUUAGAUACCCCAGUAGUC
RNAcentral lists this ribosomal RNA (465 nucleotides) under Vreelandella stevensii. Its description in RNAcentral is "partial 16S ribosomal RNA". It matches the Rfam family "Bacterial small subunit ribosomal RNA", at positions 338 to 795 of the family's 1533-position model. Lineage: Bacteria; Pseudomonadati; Pseudomonadota; Gammaproteobacteria; Oceanospirillales; Halomonadaceae. The record is from RNAcentral.